Molecule: transfer RNA, 72 nt
Filed under: Candidatus Magasanikiibacteriota bacterium
Lineage: Bacteria; Candidatus Magasanikiibacteriota
Description: Candidatus Magasanikbacteria bacterium tRNA-Arg
Rfam family: tRNA
About the family: Transfer RNA (tRNA) molecules are approximately 80 nucleotides in length. Their secondary structure includes four short double-helical elements and three loops (D, anti-codon, and T loops). Further hydrogen bonds mediate the characteristic L-shaped molecular structure. tRNAs have two regions of fundamental functional importance: the anti-codon, which is responsible for specific mRNA codon recognition, and the 3' end, to which the tRNAs corresponding amino acid is attached (by aminoacyl-tRNA synthetases). tRNAs cope with the degeneracy of the genetic code in two manners: having more than one tRNA (with a specific anti-codon) for a particular amino acid; and 'wobble' base-pairing, i.e. permitting non-standard base-pairing at the 3rd anti-codon position.
Source: RNAcentral
GUCCCUGUAGUUUAAUGGAUAGAACACUCCCCUCCUAAGGGAGAAAUCCACGUUCGAUUCGUGGUGGGGACA